UGGAUUGGUGCCUUCGGGAACUGUGAGACAGGUGCUGCAUGGCUGUCGUCAGCUCGUGUUGUGAAAUGUUGGGUUAAGUCCCGCAACGAGCGCAACCCUUAUCCUUUGUUGCCAGCGGUCCGGCCGGGAACUCAAAGGAGACUGCCAGUGAUAAACUGGAGGAAGGUGGGGAUGACGUCAAGUCAUCAUGGCCCUUACGACCAGGGCUACACACGUGCUACAAUGGCGCAUACAAAGAGAAGCGACCUCGCGAGAGCAAGCGGACCUCAUAAAGUGCGUCGUAGUCCGGAUUGGAGUCUGCAACUCGACUCCAUGAAGUCGGAAUCGCUAGUAAUCGUGGAUCAGAAUGCCACGGUGAAUACGUUCCCGGGCCUUGUACACACCGCCCGUCACACCAUGGGAGUGGGUUGCAAAAGAAGUAGGUAGCUUAACCUUCGGGAGGGCGCUUACCACUUUGUGAUUCAUGACUGGGGUGAAGUCGUAACAAGGUAACCGUAGGGGAACCUGCGGUUGGAUCACCUCCUUACCUUAAAGAAGC
This 538-nucleotide ribosomal RNA is filed under the name Escherichia coli. RNAcentral describes it as "bacterial SSU rRNA". It matches the Rfam family "Bacterial small subunit ribosomal RNA", at positions 1007 to 1533 of the family's 1533-position model. The record is from RNAcentral. Lineage: Bacteria; Pseudomonadati; Pseudomonadota; Gammaproteobacteria; Enterobacterales; Enterobacteriaceae.